This 712-nucleotide ribosomal RNA is filed under the name uncultured bacterium. RNAcentral describes it as "bacterial SSU rRNA". It matches the Rfam family "Bacterial small subunit ribosomal RNA", at positions 37 to 740 of the family's 1533-position model. The record is from RNAcentral.
CGGCGGAAUGCUUUACACAUGCAAGUCGAACGGCAGCACGGAGAGCUUGCUCUCUGGUGGCGAGUGGCGAACGGGUGAGUAAUAUAUCGGAACGUGUCCAAUAAUGGGGGAUAACGAGUCGAAAGAUUCGCUAAUACCGCAUACGCCCUACGGGGGAAAGCAGGGGAUCGUAAGACCUUGCGUUAAUGGAGCGGCCGAUAUCUGAUUAGCUUGUUGGUGAGGUAAAGGCUCACCAAGGCGACGAUCAGUAGCUGGUUUGAGAGAACGACCAGCCACACUGGAACUGAGACACGGUCCAGACUCCUACGGGAGGCAGCAGUGGGGAAUUUUGGACAAUGGGGGCAACCCUGAUCCAGCCAUUCCGCGUGAGUGAAGAAGGCCUUCGGGUUGUAAAGCUCUUUCGCAAGGGAAGAAAACUUAUGAUCGAAUAAAUCAUGAGGUUGACGGUACCUUGAUAAGAAGCACCGGCUAACUACGUGCCAGCAGCCGCGGUAAUACGUAGGGUGCGAGCGUUAAUCGGAAUUACUGGGCGUAAAGCGUGCGCAGGCGGUUUUGUAAGUCGGAUGUGAAAUCCCCGGGCUCAACCUGGGAACUGCGUUCGAAACUGCAAGGCUAGAGUGUGUCAGAGGGGGGUAGAAUUCCACGUGUAGCAGUGAAAUGCGUAGAGAUGUGGAGGAAUACCAAUGGCGAAGGCAGCCCCCUGGGAUAACAC